Non-coding RNA from Odocoileus virginianus texanus, 2515 nucleotides. The record is from RefSeq and is a predicted model, not a curated record. Lineage: Eukaryota; Metazoa; Chordata; Mammalia; Artiodactyla; Cervidae.
CACUUUUCUAACAUUCCAUUGGUCAUGCUGGCCAAUUUGACUCAAUGUGGAAGUAGCUUAUAGAAGAGCAUGACUAUCAGGAGCAUCUUUACUGCCUCACUGGAUAAAUAAAGAGAACUGAAAGACUUGCAUGAGAGAUAGGAUGAAAGGAUCUGGGUGUCCAAGUGACUUUAUGGAGCAGAGACCAUCCACGGACCUACACUUCCAUGUCAAGCGAGAAACAAGUUCUAUUUUGAGGACUCACAGUACUGCCAUGGAACCCUGCAUUCUACUGGUUACAAACUGUUCUCGUUCCUUUCAUGGCCUAAUUUGAAGGUUCAUCUUUCUCCUUAGGAUCUUCCUGCUCCUACUUCCAGCAGGUUCUUUAAUGUGACCUGAUCACCUUCUCUAGGGAUGAGCAGGCCUUAGAGGCCCUAGAGGACCAUCUCAUACUAAAAAUACCUAACUACUGAACUGACAAAUUAAAUGGCGACUUAUUCAUUUAUAACACAGGGAUGACUCUCCAUUAUCCAGAAUUCCAGAUCUGGACAUGCUGAGUAAGGAGAAUAUCAUUUAGUGAAGAACUACUCCGUGUUAUAGUGGGCACUUCCUUGUAUUAUUUCAAUCACUUGUCACCACAACUCUGUGAUAUAGUUCUUAUUUUGUCCCAAUUUUAUAUAUGAGAAACUUAGUGAGAAACAUUAAAAGAUCUACUUUGAUCCCAUAGCCUAUAAGUUUUGGAGCUAAGAUUCAAGUGCUUUGAUUUCUACCCCAUGCAAUGAGCUGAGUGCACCCACACUGGCUGAAAAAAAAAUGAUAAUGAUAAUUAUUUAAUUAAUGUAAUUAUAAUUUACUGGAUAUUUUCUGUAUGCAUGCAUGCUUGCCAAGUCUCUUCAGUCAUGUCCGACUCUUUGUGACCCUUUGGACUGUAGCCCGCCAGCUCCUCUGUCCUUGGAAUUCUCCAGGCAAGAAUACUGGAGUGGGUUGUCAUUACCUUAAAUACUUUGACAUGCAUUAUCUUACAUAACCUUAACAACUCUGUUAAGUGAGAAACUAUUUCCAGUGAACAAUGAGGAAACAGAUGCUCAAAAAGUUUAAAUAACUUUCUUGCCCUGGUUAAGUGAUGGGGCAGAUAUUCAAACCAUGUCUUUCUGCCCGCAAAGUACUUUUUACUGCCAGGCAAUGUUAAGACUAUCUGAUGAAUAAAAAUCAGAAUGGAGAGAAUUUGUUGAUUGACAGGAUAUUUCAUCAAGGGUGUGGUAGAGGAUAGAAAACCACUGAAGUUCUCCUAGGAGGGACUGAUCAUGUCGCUUCAUGCCAUGAUGCAACAGACAUUGAAUAUCUAAUACUAUUAUUUUUCAUUCUCACUAAUAAUUCUUAUUAGUCACAAAAACUCAUCACUAUCUUUUUUUCAUGAUAGAGAGUGUGCAUUAUAAUUUUCAGUCUAUAUUGUCUCACCUUUCUCUGAGGAUAAAUUUUAGGAAUUGAAAAAGAAAUGAAAUGUCCCAAACCUGAGGAAAAAGCGUGAUUACUUUUUGAUGACAUACUUUAGCAAUCUUUCUUUACUAAAUUGGUGGUAUAUCUGAUUAACUUUCAGGUCAGUGAAAUUAGAAUUUAUCCUGCAAAAUGGAUGUACAUAUGAUAGUUUUACAAGUUUAAACCCUUUAAGAAAUCUUGGGACUAGAUCAAUAAAUUUUAACAGGUAUUUCCUUCCAGCACCUCAACUUACAAACUUAUUAAGACGGGUUUUGUUUUGGUUUGCUUCUCUUUGUGGAAGUAAGAUUUGGAUGGGGUGGCAAGUUUGAAGUAAACCUAGACCUUUGCUCAGAACCAAUGCAUCCGAGAACUUUCCUUUAACAUCCCUUUGUUUCUUGAGCCUGGACUCAUUGAGAAAGCGUUUGUUUCUUUACACUGCAGCCCAGUCACCUGGCAGGAGGUUGGGUACAAAAGAAUGUGCUUUCUAAAUGUCAGCUGAAUAAAUGAAUAUUUGAAUAAAUUCACCAACUAUGGGCUUCGUUUCAUUUUUACCCUGCUUCCUUUUUUUUGGAAAGAUACUCAAUUGAGUUUUCUCAUCCAUUCAUUUUUAUUCCUUUGCAAAGAGUACCCCUUGGGACGUCUCUGCCAGAUCUUUCCUGGGAGCCCUAGCCUGUCCGGCUUGGUGUCUCCCCGACAGUCUGGGCGGACCCUGCCCCUCCCCCUGCGCCACCCCUCCCCCAAAUCAGUUCACAUCGUCUUUGAGGAUGGAGUUUCCAAACCACCUUCUACUAUGCAUGGUUUCCCCCUCCUAAAGUUGAACAGGCUGGUGAAAAUUUAGGCAACGUAGAGAAUAUUUAAAACAAAAGAGAAGUAACGGAAGAUUAAGGAAAGGUCACUACAGUUAGCGAGAAGGGUGUGACUCACUAAAAACAAAAAACCACGUUAACUGACAAAGAGCAAACCGGAAGAAAAAUCAGGAGAACCUUUUGGGUGGCUGAUUGAGACAAUACCAGAGCUGCAAGUGAUGAGAGUGGGAAAGUCAGUCAGAAAAGACUAUGAG